UACGUAGGUGGCGAGCGUUGUCCGGAAUGACUGGGCGUAAAGGGAGCGUAGGUGGCAAUUUAAGUUAGGUGUGAAAGCCCGUGGCUCAACCACGGAACUGCACUUAAAACUGGAUAGCUAGAGUACAGGAGGGGUAAGCGGAAUUUCUAGUGUAGCGGUGGAAUGCUUAGAUAUUAGGAAGAACACCAGAGGCGAAGGCGGCUUACUGGACUGCAACUGACACUGAGGCUCGAAAGCGUGGGGAGCAAACA
This 251-nucleotide ribosomal RNA is filed under the name uncultured bacterium. Its description in RNAcentral is "partial 16S ribosomal RNA". It matches the Rfam family "Bacterial small subunit ribosomal RNA", at positions 524 to 774 of the family's 1533-position model. The record is from RNAcentral.